CCGGCACGGGUGAGUAACACGUAUCCAACCUGCCGUCUACUCUUGGACAGCCUUCUGAAAGGAAGAUUAAUACAAGAUGGCAUCAUGAGUCCGCAUGUUCACAUGAUUAAAGGUAUUCCGGUGGACGAUGGGGAUGCGUUCCAUUAGAUAGUAGGCGGGGUAACGACCCACCUAGUCUUCGAUGGAUAGGGGUUCUGAGAGGAAGGUCCCCCACAUUGGAACUGAGACACGGUCCAA
RNAcentral lists this ribosomal RNA (237 nucleotides) under uncultured bacterium. RNAcentral's name for it is "partial 16S ribosomal RNA". It matches the Rfam family "Bacterial small subunit ribosomal RNA", at positions 100 to 334 of the family's 1533-position model. The record is from RNAcentral.